UACGUAGGAUGCAAGCGUUGUCCGGAAUUAUUGGGCGUAAAGAGCUCGUAGGCGGCUUGUCGCGUCGAAUGUGAAAACCUGCAGCUCAACUGCAGGCUUGCAUUCGAUACGGGCAGGCUCGAGUUCGGUAGGGGAGACUGGAAUUCCUGGUGUAGCGGUGAAAUGCGCAGAUAUCAGGAGGAACACCGGUGGCGAAGGCGGGUCUCUGGGCCGAUACUGACGCUGAGGAGCGAAAGCGUGGGGAGCGAACAGG
RNAcentral lists this ribosomal RNA (253 nucleotides) under uncultured bacterium. RNAcentral describes it as "partial 16S ribosomal RNA". It matches the Rfam family "Bacterial small subunit ribosomal RNA", at positions 524 to 776 of the family's 1533-position model. The record is from RNAcentral.